ACAACGGGUGGAGCCUGCGGUUAAUUGGACUCAACGCCGGGCAGCUCACCGGAUAAGACAGCUGGAUGAUAGCCGGGCUGAAGACUCUGCUUGACUAGCUGAGAGGAGGUGCAUGGCCGUCGUCAGUUCGUACUGUGAAGCAUCCUGUUAAGUCAGGCAACGAGCGAGACCCACGCCAACAGUUGCCAGCAUGUCCUCCGGGAUGAUGGGGACACUGUUGGGACCGCCUCUGCUAAAGAGGAGGAAGGAAUGGGCAACGGUAGGUCAGCAUGCCCCGAAUUAUCCGGGCUACACGCGGGCUACAAUGGUCAGGACAAUGGGUAUCGACACCGAGAGGUGGAGGCAAUCUCCUAAACCUGUCCUUAGUUCGGAUUGUGGGCUGCAACUCGCCCACAUGAAGCUGGAAUCCGUAGUAAUCGCGUUUCAAAAUAGCGCGGUGAAUAUGUCCCUGCUCCUU
Molecule: ribosomal RNA, 457 nt
Filed under: uncultured Methanolinea sp.
Lineage: Archaea; Methanobacteriati; Methanobacteriota; Methanomicrobia; Methanomicrobiales; Methanoregulaceae
Description: bacterial SSU rRNA
Rfam family: Archaeal small subunit ribosomal RNA
Source: RNAcentral